GGUUGAUCCUGCCAGUAGUCAUAUGCUUGUCUCAAAGAUUAAGCCAUGCAUGUCUAAGUAUAAGCAAUUAUACAGUGAAACUGCGAAUGGCUCAUUAAAUCAGUUAUCGUUUAUUUGAUAGUUCCUUUUACUACAAGGAUAACCGUGGUAAAUCUAGAGCUAAUACUUGCUAAAAAGCCCGACCUCACGGAAGGGUUGUAUUUAUUAGAUAAAAAAUCAUCGCCUUCGGGCUGCUUGGUGAUUCAUAAUAACUUUUCGAAGCGCAUGGCUUUAGUGCUGGCGCUGGUUCAUU
RNAcentral lists this ribosomal RNA (292 nucleotides) under uncultured eukaryote. RNAcentral's name for it is "partial 18S ribosomal RNA". It matches the Rfam family "Eukaryotic small subunit ribosomal RNA", at positions 6 to 299 of the family's 1831-position model. The record is from RNAcentral.